CCCAGACUCCUACGGGAGGCAGCAGUGGGGAAUAUUGGGCAAUGGGCGCAAGCCUGACCCAGCAACGCCGCGUGAAGGAAGAAGGCUUUCGGGUUGUAAACUUCUUUUCUCAGGGACGAAGAAAGUGACGGUACCUGAGGAAUAAGCCACGGCUAACUACGUGCCAGCAGCCGCGGUAAUACGUAGGUGGCGAGCGUUAUCCGGAAUUACUGGGUGUAAAGGGAGCGUAGGCGGGGGAACAAGUUGAAUGUUUAAGAUAUGGGCUCAACUCAUAUAAGCGUUCAAAACUGUUUUUCUUGAGUGAAGUAGAGGUAAGCGGAAUUCCUAGUGUAGCGGUGGAAUGCGUAAAUAUUAGGAGGAACACCAGUGGCGAAGGCGGCUUACUGGGCUUUAACUGACGCUGAGGCUCGAAAGCGUGGGUAGCAAACAGGAUUAGAUACCCGUGUACG
RNAcentral lists this ribosomal RNA (449 nucleotides) under uncultured bacterium. Its description in RNAcentral is "bacterial SSU rRNA". It matches the Rfam family "Bacterial small subunit ribosomal RNA", at positions 330 to 793 of the family's 1533-position model. The record is from RNAcentral.